UACGUAGGGGGCAAGCGUUAUCCGGAUUUACUGGGUGCAAAGGGAGCGUAGACGGCAGAGCAAGUCUGAAGUGAAAGCCCGCGGCCCAACUGCGGGACUGCUUUGGAAACUGCCCGGCUAGAGUGCUGGAGAGGUAAGCGGAAUUCCUAGUGUAGCGGUGAAAUGCGUAGAUAUUAGGAGGAACACCAGUGGCGAAGGCGGCUUACUGGACAGUAACUGACGUUGAGGCUCGAAAGCGUGGGGAGCAAACAGG
Molecule: ribosomal RNA, 253 nt
Filed under: uncultured bacterium
Lineage: Bacteria
Description: partial 16S ribosomal RNA
Rfam family: Bacterial small subunit ribosomal RNA
Source: RNAcentral